CUCCGCUCUCCGCCUCCUCCAGCUCCCUCCUCCCCGCCCCCGCCUUCCUCCGGGAAGGCGGCGCUGUGGACCUGGCCGUCCCGGCCUCCUGGACUCUCUGCGCCCCUCCCCGGCCAGCGACCCCCACUCUCAGGAGCUGCUGGAAUCCAUCUAGGCCCCUUACCGCCCUCAGCCCCGUACCCAGCCUUCCUCUCACUCCUCCAGCUCCAUCGGCUGGUUGACACCGAGAAUAUACGUGGCAUGCCCUCGAGAGAGACCCUGGGUGUUGCUGCUGGACGUGGUUGGGGGUGAGAGGGGCUGUGUGUGUGUUGUACAGUGAGGGAAGACUGGAAAGAUGUCCAUAUCUGCCCCAUCCAGACCGUGCCCCAAGCGAAGAGACGACUCUAGCUUCCAGCCGGGAGCCUCGCUGGUUGUCGCCGGCGGCAACCUUUGAAUUGCACUUUUAUUGUUUACAAACACCUUCGCCUGCCCUUUUCGGAACUGUCUCCACAGGAAGUGUGAAUCUGGGAUGGAAAAAUCUUCCGGCUAAUUUGACCCACUUUACCAGCUGAAUCACCGCCAGGCGAUGUGUCCAGCUCUUCCCAAAGAAGGUAGUAAGGGCACCCUUUACGGAGAGGGCAGGUGUGCCAGCACCCGCUACCGCUUGGUCAUUCCGCCAGCCCUUCCAGUCAUCCUCCCAGGGAUUUUUUUUUUUUUUUUUAAUCAUCCCUGUCUUAUAAAUGAGGAAACCAAGGCUCAGAGAGAUUAAUUAGCUUGCCAAGGGUCACACAGAGAGGAAGUGAUGAAGCCAGGUAACCAGUGGGCGGCUGGGCUUCUCAUUCCCAAAACUUUUCCGUGGCCACCAGAAUCCAGGUUACCUCGGUGGACAGGGAGCUCUCCUCUCUCCAUCUGCUCUUUCUCUUUUUUGAUCUCUUCGUUUCCCUCCACACCCCUGUCAGCCAGCGGCCCUCUCUUAGGUCCACUGUUGUUGCUCUUGCUCUUCCUCUUCUGGAUGGAAUUCUGUCCUCUGACCCUUCCUCCCCAGCCUUUGGCACUAGGCUGGUUCAUCUGCACCGGUGGAAACCC
Molecule: long non-coding RNA, 1065 nt
Filed under: Bos grunniens (domestic yak)
Lineage: Eukaryota; Metazoa; Chordata; Mammalia; Artiodactyla; Bovidae
Description: lncRNA (ENSBGRG00000003320.1)
Source: RNAcentral